RNAcentral lists this ribosomal RNA (468 nucleotides) under uncultured bacterium. RNAcentral describes it as "partial 16S ribosomal RNA". The stretch from base 20 to 329 matches the Rfam family "Bacterial small subunit ribosomal RNA", at positions 47 to 358 of the family's 1533-position model. The record is from RNAcentral.
GACGAACGCUGGCGGCGUGCUUAACACAUGCAAGUCGAACGGAAAGGCCCUGCUUUUGUGGGGUGCUCGAGUGGCGAACGGGUGAGUAACACGUGAGUAACCUGCCCUUGACUUUGGGAUAACUUCAGGAAACUGGGGCUAAUACCGGAUAGGAGCUCCUGCUGCAUGGUGGGGGUUGGAAAGUUUCGGCGGUUGGGGAUGGACUCGCGGCUUAUCAGCUUGUUGGUGGGGUAGUGGCUUACCAAGGCUUUGACGGGUAGCCGGCCGGAGAGGGUGACCGGCAUAAUGGGGAAGGAGGGAGGCCCAAGAGUCGAAGGGGGGGAAGAGGGGGGAAGAUUGAAAAAGGGGGAGGGAGUGGGAGGAGGAGGCCGGGGGGGGGGAAAGACGGUUGGGGGGUAAAAAAAAGCUGGCGCUGGUGAAAAAGUGGGAGUGACGGUAGGGGAAAAAGAAGAACCGGCAAACUCCGUG